RNAcentral lists this ribosomal RNA (305 nucleotides) under uncultured bacterium. RNAcentral's name for it is "bacterial SSU rRNA". It matches the Rfam family "Bacterial small subunit ribosomal RNA", at positions 338 to 660 of the family's 1533-position model. The record is from RNAcentral.
CCUACGGGGGGCAGCAGUGGGGGAUAUUGCACAAUGGAGGGAACUCUGAUGCAGCGACGCCGCGUGAGGGAAGAAGGUUUUCGGAUUGUAAACCUCUGUCUUCGGUGACGAAACGAGACGGUAGCCGAGGAGGAAGCCACGGCUAACUACGUGCCAGCAGCCGCGGUAAUACGUAGGUGGCAAGCGUUGUCCGGAAUUACUGGGUGUAAAGGGAGCGUAGGCGGGAAAGCAAGUUGAAUGUUUAAGGUACGGGCUCAACCUGUACAAGCGUUCAAAACUGUUUUUCUUGAGUGGAGUAGAGGUAA